Long non-coding RNA from Gorilla gorilla gorilla (western lowland gorilla), 1135 nucleotides. RefSeq lists it as uncharacterized. The transcript is spliced from 3 exons. Lineage: Eukaryota; Metazoa; Chordata; Mammalia; Primates; Hominidae. The record is from RefSeq and is a predicted model, not a curated record.
GGAGGGUGUGGGGGUAGUGGGGGAUGCUGUGGGCUGCAGGGGUGGGUGGGGAGGAGAAGACUCAGACAAGAGGGCAAGUGGAGCUUGGGGCUGUCCAGGAGGUGGCAAGGGGCCAAGGACAGCUGCCACAUCCUGGACUGGCAGGGGUGGGACUGGGGUGAGGGAAGGGGCGGACGCUGCCAACCACCCACCUCCGUGUAGAGCCUGCAGAGAACUGUGGCCCAGCCUCCCGUGCCACCUACCUUCUGACAGGUCUCCAGGAACUCUUCAAUGGUCACUACCCCAUCCUGGUUCCGGUCCAUUUUCUGCAACCCAAGCCAUGCCCAAAGCUCCCCUCCCUAGGCAGGGCUGGCGCUCACUCACCUCGAAGAACCUCUCCACGUGCUCCGCCGGCGCGUCCUCCCGCAGGAUGGGGUAGGUGUGGCGGCCCAUCAUGUCAUAGAUGGACUUCAUGAUGGCCAGCAUCUCCUGGAGGGGGAGGCUGGCAUGAGCCUGCUGCAAGGCCGGGGUGGCUGUGAGGGCCCAAAGGGAGCGGGCGGCAUCCAAGGGUGCAGGGCACCUCCAAGGCAGUGAGUGCGAGGGGCCGGACGAGCUGGAGAGAGAAGCCUGUCCGCUUCCAGGGCACCCAGAGCGAGCUUCUGACUCUAGGGGAAGCUCAUCUCCCAGAGAAGUGGGAGAUCGAUUGCUAUGUGCUUAUCUCCAAAAUGUGACGCGGCAGCAGAAAAAGUGCUUGGACCAAACAAAACCUGUCUGUGGGCCCAUGUGGGAGGGCUCCCCUCUCCACCCAUGCCUUAAGGGACCGCACUGCCCCCUUCACUUGAUGGGGGCCAAGGCCAGGACCUCUGGCUUCUCCACUUAAGUCUCCCCGAGGCCUUUUGUGUAAGACAGUAUGACCCAGAACACUUGCUGAGCUGGACCGAGAUGUGUGGUACAGGGUACCUGAGCCCACACUCCACACCGGGGUGUCCAGGACCGAGCCCAGGAGAGGAGAGCCCACUGGCUGCUGUCCCCGGGACCAGUCUCUGGAUGGACAGCGGGAGAAGACAGAGAUUAAAGGCCCACUUGAGCUUCUCGUGGACUGUGCCCCGCAGCAGGAUGGAGAGGCCAACCACAAAGUCCUAUGGGGAAAGGAGAG